This 460-nucleotide ribosomal RNA is filed under the name uncultured bacterium. RNAcentral's name for it is "partial 16S ribosomal RNA". It matches the Rfam family "Bacterial small subunit ribosomal RNA", at positions 338 to 795 of the family's 1533-position model. The record is from RNAcentral.
CCUACGGGUGGCUGCAGUGGGGAAUAUUGGUCAAUGGACGAAAGUCUGAUCCAGCCAUGCCGCGUGAGGGAAGAAGGCUCUAUGAGCUGAAAACUGCUUUUGUACGAGGGUAAAUCCCGAUACGUGUAUCAGGUUGCCAGUAUCGUACCGAUCAGGAACGGCUAACUCCGUGCCAGGAGCCGCGGUAAUACGGAGGAAUCAAGCGUUAUCCGGAUUUAUUGGGUUUAAAGGGUGCGUAGGCGGUUUGAUUAGUUAGAGGUGAAAUCCCGGGGCUCAACUCCGGCACUGCCUUGGAUACUGUCGGGCUUGAGUGUAGUUGCGGUAGGCGGAAUUGAUGGUGUAGCGGUGAAAUGCAUAGAGAUCAUACAGAACACCGAUUGCGAAGGCAGCUUACCAAACUACGACUGACGUUGAGGCACGAAAGCGUGGGGAGCAAACAGGAUUAGAUACCCCGGUAGUC